RNAcentral lists this ribosomal RNA (498 nucleotides) under uncultured bacterium. RNAcentral's name for it is "partial 16S ribosomal RNA". It matches the Rfam family "Bacterial small subunit ribosomal RNA", at positions 28 to 508 of the family's 1533-position model. The record is from RNAcentral.
GUUGAACGCUGGCGGCGUGCCUAAUACAUGCAAGUCGAGCGAACGGACGAGAAGCUCUCUUCUCUUAUGUUAGCGGCGGACGGGUGAUUAACACGUGGCUAACCUACCUAUAAGACUGAGAUCACUUCGGGAAACCGGAGCUCAUACCCGAUAAUAUUUUGAACCUCAUGGUUCAACAGUGCAAGACGUUCUUGCUGUCACUUAUAGAUGUAUCCGCGCUGGAUUAGCUAGUUGGUAAGGUAACGGCUUACCAAGGCAACGAUGCAGAGACGACCUGGCAGGGUGGUUGGCCAAAAUGGAAACGAGACACGGGCCAGACUCCUACGGGAGGGAGCAGGAGGGAAACAUCCGAAAUGGGCGAAAGCCUGACGGAGGAAAGCCGCGGGGGUGAAGAAGGUCUUCGGAACGGAAAACUCUGUUAUGAGGGAAGAACAGAUGGGUAGGUAACAGUGCACAUUUUGACGGUACCUAAUAAGAAAGCCACGGCUAACCACGGGC